Dioscorea cayenensis subsp. rotundata (Guinea yam) is the source of this 425-nucleotide long non-coding RNA. RefSeq lists it as uncharacterized. The transcript is spliced from 3 exons. NCBI's taxonomy places the organism in Eukaryota, Viridiplantae, Streptophyta, Magnoliopsida, Dioscoreales, Dioscoreaceae. The record is from RefSeq and is a predicted model, not a curated record.
UCAAUUCCACUUGCAUUUGGAGUGCACUGCCCAAGCAUUGAAGGGAUGUUUGAAACGGUGUCCCUAUUGGGUUCCUCCGCAAGUAACCUGCUUCGAAGCCUAUGCAGAGAAGAAAAGCAUGUAUGUCAAGUUCACUAAAGAACCAUUUUCCUACCAAACCAACCUUGAUGAAGAGACAACUGGUGAUAUCAUGACUAACAAUUCAAGCGCACUAGUUAGACAGUUCAAGUUACAUGGUUUCAUUUUGAGAUGCUGGUUUCUGUGGAUCAUGAAUGCCAUAUCGAUUCAUGCAAGAGUACGGAGAGGCAUCCUGCAAUGCUUUUGGGUUUCUUUCCAGAUAUUUGGGAAUGGGAUUUCCAGUAGAAUGUCUGAAAAUACAAUGGAGCAUGUUAAGAAUUGUGUCUCUAAUUGUGCUUGAAGCUCUU